CCGAAUGGGGAAACCCAGUGUGACUCGUCACACUAUCAUUAACUGAAUCCAUAGGUUAAUGAGGCGAACCGGGGGAACUGAAACAUCUAAGUACCCCGAGGAAAAGAAAUCAACCGAGAUUCCCCCAGUAGCGGCGAGCGAACGGGGAGGAGCCCAGAGCCUGAAUCAGCAUGUGUGUUAGUGGAAGCGUCUGGAAAGGCGCGCGAUACAGGGUGACAGCCCCGUACACAAAAGCGCAUGUGCUGUGAGCUCGAUGAGUAGGGCGGGACACGUGGUAUCCUGUCUGAAUAUGGGGGGACCAUCCUCCAAGGCUAAAUACUCCUGACUGACCGAUAGUGAACCAGUACCGUGAGGGAAAGGCGAAAAGAACCCCGGCGAGGGGAGUGAAAAAGAACCUGAAACCGUGUACGUACAAGCAGUGGGAGCCCCACCAC
This 434-nucleotide ribosomal RNA is filed under the name Salmonella enterica. RNAcentral describes it as "partial 23S ribosomal RNA". It matches the Rfam family "Bacterial large subunit ribosomal RNA", at positions 114 to 588 of the family's 2925-position model. The record is from RNAcentral. Lineage: Bacteria; Pseudomonadati; Pseudomonadota; Gammaproteobacteria; Enterobacterales; Enterobacteriaceae.